CAUCAUCGACAACGCGUUCAGCAAGAAGCCGCAGGUCAUCACGAUCGAGGCGACCGACAAGGCGUUCAAGACAAGUGGUUGCCAGCCGUGGCAGCCGACCGACGCUGUCCCGGACACCCCGGCCAACGGCGCCAUUCCGGCACUGGUCGGCGGGGCCAAGCUGCGGGCAUGGAUG
RNAcentral lists this non-coding RNA (175 nucleotides) under Mycolicibacterium fortuitum. RNAcentral's name for it is "Mycobacterium fortuitum Mycobacterium sRNA 6715". It matches the Rfam family "Mycobacterium sRNA 6715". From Rfam's summary of the family: First sRNA identified as a potential biomarker for the detection of MTB in patients. Lineage: Bacteria; Bacillati; Actinomycetota; Actinomycetes; Mycobacteriales; Mycobacteriaceae. The record is from Rfam by way of RNAcentral.